AUGUCGUCGCAUCCAGGCGACCUGCAGCUCAUGGACGGCCCAGUGCUCAUCCAGCACGGCGACAAGGACGACCUGCUUAUCGACGUCCCGGAGCCCAUCCAGCAGGACGACGACAAGGACCACCUGCUGCUGGCCCGGACCAAGAGGUGGAUAAAGGAGAUGCGGGUGGGGCUGAUGCUGCUGGCGACCAUCCUGGCGUCGCUGGCCUACCUGUCCGUCCCGUACCCCCCGGGCGGGUUGUUCUGGAGAGAGGACAAAGCCGGGCCAUACCCAUACGGGCACGACGCCGGCGACCCGGUGCUGCCCGGCCAUCCCAUUUUCAAGUCGCUUAGCACCGUGGCCUUCCUGACCUCACUGCUGCUGGUCUCCAGCGAGUGCUUCUACCGAACGUGGGACAGGGUGGCAGGGCUGCUGCUCCUCGCUCUCCUCGACCUCGCCUGCCUUGUUGGCGCCUACGUUGUCGGCGCCAGUCCGAAUGGCUGGGGCUGGUUCAUCAUCGUCGUAUUCCCCUGCACCGUCGUCGCCUGCAGUUUCCUCUUCUUCUCCGUCCCCUUCAUCACGGGUAAUAUGGAUGCUACUGCGGUUCCUGCGUCGUCUCGCCAGGCUCUGGUGGUGACCAGCAUGGAGAGAGCGGCAAGGAGCGGGCGCUGUGGGUCAUCUUCCGGCCAUUCCUCGCAGAUCAAGUCGUAG
This 690-nucleotide ribosomal RNA is filed under the name Triticum aestivum (bread wheat). Its description in RNAcentral is "partial small subunit ribosomal RNA". Lineage: Eukaryota; Viridiplantae; Streptophyta; Magnoliopsida; Poales; Poaceae. The record is from RNAcentral.